GAUGAACGCUGGCGGCGUGCCUAAUACAUGCAAGUAGAACGCUGAAGGAAGGAGCUUGCUCUUUCCGGAUGAGUUGCGAACGGGUGAGUAACGCGUAGGUAACCUGCCUGGUAGCGGGGGAUAACUAUUGGAAACGAUAGCUAAUACCGCAUAACAGUAGAUGUUGCAUGAUAUCUACUUAAAAGGUGCAAUUGCACCACUACCAGAUGGACCUGCGUUGUAUUAGCUAGUUGGUGAGGUAACGGCUCACCAAGGCGACGAUACAUAGCCGACCUGAGAGGGUGAUCGGCCACACUGGGACUGAGACACGGCCCAGACUCCUACGGGAGGCAGCAGUAGGGAAUCUUCGGCAAUGGACGGAAGUCUGACCGAGCAACGCCGCGUGAGUGAAGAAGGGUUUCGGAUCGUAAAGCUCUGUUGUAAGAGAAGGACGAGUGUGAGAGUGGAAAGUUCACACUGUGACGGUAUCUUACCAGAAAGGGACGGCUAACUACGUG
This 497-nucleotide ribosomal RNA is filed under the name uncultured bacterium. RNAcentral's name for it is "partial 16S ribosomal RNA". It matches the Rfam family "Bacterial small subunit ribosomal RNA", at positions 28 to 507 of the family's 1533-position model. The record is from RNAcentral.